This 661-nucleotide ribosomal RNA is filed under the name bacterium LB-114. RNAcentral's name for it is "bacterial SSU rRNA". It matches the Rfam family "Bacterial small subunit ribosomal RNA", at positions 781 to 1442 of the family's 1533-position model. The record is from RNAcentral.
UGUACCCUGGUAGUCCACGCCGUAAACGAUGUCGACUUGGAGGUUGUGCCCUUGAGGCGUGGCUUCCGGAGCUAACGCGUUAAGUCGACCGCCUGGGGAGUACGGCCGCAAGGUUAAAACUCAAAUGAAUUGACGGGGGCCCGCACAAGCGGUGGAGCAUGUGGUUUAAUUCGAUGCAACGCGAAGAACCUUACCUACUCUUGACAUCCAGAGAACUUAGCAGAGAUGCUUUGGUGCCUUCGGGAACUCUGAGACAGGUGCUGCAUGGCUGUCGUCAGCUCGUGUUGUGAAAUGUUGGGUUAAGUCCCGCAACGAGCGCAACCCUUAUCCUUUGUUGCCAGCGGUUAGGCCGGGAACUCAAAGGAGACUGCCAGUGAUAAACUGGAGGAAGGUGGGGAUGACGUCAAGUCAUCAUGGCCCUUACGAGUAGGGCUACACACGUGCUACAAUGGCAUAUACAAAGAGAAGCGACCUCGCGAGAGCAAGCGGACCUCAUAAAGUAUGUCGUAGUCCGGAUUGGAGUCUGCAACUCGACUCCAUGAAGUCGGAAUCGCUAGUAAUCGUGGAUCAGAAUGCCACGGUGAAUACGUUCCCGGGCCUUGUACACACCGCCCGUCACACCAUGGGAGUGGGUUGCAAAAGAAGUAGGUAGCUUAACCUU